GCUAAUUUGGUGUAAUACGCACAUUGGCCUUUCAUGCCAAAAGAACAUAUACCGUACUUAGCC
RNAcentral lists this transfer RNA (63 nucleotides) under Margaritifera marrianae. Its description in RNAcentral is "tRNA-Glu". Lineage: Eukaryota; Metazoa; Mollusca; Bivalvia; Unionida; Margaritiferidae. The record is from RNAcentral.